GACGAACGCUGGCGGCGCGCUUAACACAUGCAAGUCGAGCGAGAACCGGGACUUCGGUCCCGGGGACAGCGGCGAACGGGUGAGUAACACGUGGGUAAUCUGCCCUCGAUUCUGGGAUAGCCCGGGGGAAACCCGGAUUAAUACCGGAUAGCCUUUCGAGCCUUCGGGCGCGAAAGAAAAGGUAGCUUCGGCCUCCGAUCGAGGAUGAGCCCGCGGUGGAUUAGCUUGUUGGCGGGGUAAUGGCCCACCAAGGCGACGAUCCAUAGC
RNAcentral lists this ribosomal RNA (267 nucleotides) under uncultured bacterium. Its description in RNAcentral is "partial 16S ribosomal RNA". It matches the Rfam family "Bacterial small subunit ribosomal RNA", at positions 28 to 287 of the family's 1533-position model. The record is from RNAcentral.